UCGCAUCUUCUCAUCCACCGGGGCCACCCCCACCUUCUGUCGAAUAACUUCAUUCUUAAUCUAAUCUAACCUGGUGCGCCCGAACAUCCACCCGAGCAUCCUCAUCUCCGCAACCUUCAUUCUUUGAACAUGAGAGUUCUUCACGGGCCAGCACUUCGCCCCGUACAACAUUGCAGGUCUAACCACAGCUCUAUAAAAUUUUCCCUUGAGUUUAUGUGGAACUUU
RNAcentral lists this long non-coding RNA (225 nucleotides) under Nicotiana benthamiana. RNAcentral's name for it is "long non-coding RNA (NBEN_LNC000780)". Lineage: Eukaryota; Viridiplantae; Streptophyta; Magnoliopsida; Solanales; Solanaceae. The record is from RNAcentral.